This 497-nucleotide ribosomal RNA is filed under the name uncultured bacterium. Its description in RNAcentral is "partial 16S ribosomal RNA". It matches the Rfam family "Bacterial small subunit ribosomal RNA", at positions 28 to 507 of the family's 1533-position model. The record is from RNAcentral.
GACGAACGCUGGCGGCGUGCCUAAUACAUGCAAGUAGAACGCUGAAGAGAGGAGCUUGCUCUUCUUGGAUGAGUUGCGAACGGGUGAGUAACGCGUAGGUAACCUGCCUUGUAGCGGGGGAUAACUAUUGGAAACGAUAGCUAAUACCGCAUAACAAUGGAUGACACAUGUCAUUUAUUUGAAAGGGGCAAUUGCUCCACUACAAGAUGGACCUGCGUUGUAUUAGCUAGUAGGUGAGGUAAUGGCUCACCUAGGCGACGAUACAUAGCCGACCUGAGAGGGUGAUCGGCCACACUGGGACUGGGACACGGGCCAGACUCCUACGGGAGGCAGCAGGAGGGGAACUUCGGCAAUGGGGGGAACCCUGACCGAGCAGCGCCGCGGGGGGGAAGAAGGGUUUCGGAUCGUAAAGCUCUGUUGUAAGGGAAGAACGGGUGUGAGAGUGGAAAGUUCACACUGUGACGGUAGCUUAACAGAAAGGGACGGCUAACUACGUG